RNAcentral lists this ribosomal RNA (419 nucleotides) under Gyraulus sp. 15672. RNAcentral's name for it is "partial large subunit ribosomal RNA". RNAcentral also lists the same sequence under 2 other names. The record is from RNAcentral. Lineage: Eukaryota; Metazoa; Mollusca; Gastropoda; Planorbidae.
AGUUUUAUGGUUAUAUAUAAAAUAUUUUCUGCCCAGUGUCAAUGGAUAAAUGGCCGCAGUACCUUGACUGUGCUAAGGUAGCAUAAUCAAUUGGCUUUUAAUUGAAGUCUAGAAUGAAUGGGAUAAUGAAAUUUAGCUGUCUUAUUUUUUUUUAAUAAAAUUUAUUUAUAAGGUGAAAAUACCUUAAAAAUAUAAUAAAGACGAGAAGACCCUAUGAAUUUUUAAAUUUUUUUUUGUUGGGGCGACAAUUUAAAAUAUAAUCUUAAAUUUUUAAAUAUAUAACGAUUUUUCUAAUAAAAAUUAAAUUACCUUAGGGAUAACAGCAUUAUUAUUUAAAUAGUUUGUGACCUCGAUGUUGGACUAGGAACUAAAAGGCUAACCGUCUUUAUAGAUUUGUUCUGUUCGAACAAUUUUAUCCU